GGGAGAGUCAAAAUGCUUACACAUGCAAGUCGAUUCAAGUUACUUUCGGGUAAUGAGGAUGGCGGACGGGUGAGUAACGCGUAAGGAACUUGCCUCUUGGACUGGGACAACUGUUGGAAACGACAGCUAAUACCGGAUAUUAUGAGAUUCUCGCAUGAGAAACUUAUGAAAGCUAUAUGCGCCAAGAGAGAGCCUUGCGUUCCAUUAGCUAGUUGGUGGGGUAACGGCCCACCAAGGCGACGAUGGAUAGCCGGCCUGAGAGGGUGAACGGCCACAAGGGGACUGAGACACGGCCCUUACUCCUACGGGAGGCAGCAGUGGGGAAUAUUGGACAAUGGGCCACAAGCCUGAUCCAGCAAUUCUGUGUGCACGAUGAAGGUCUUCGGAUUGUAAAGUGCUUUCAGUUGGGAAGAAGAAAGUGACGGUACCAACAGAAGAAGCGACGGCUAAAUACGUGCCAGCAGCCGCGGUAAUACGUAUGUCGCAAGCGUUAUCCGGAUUUAUUGGGCGUAAAGCGCGUCUAGGCGGAAAAAUAAGUCUGAUGCUAAAAUGCGGGGCUCAACUCCGUAUUGCGUUGGAAACUGUUUUUCUAGAGUACUGGAGAGGUGGGCGGAACUACAAGUGUAGAGGUGAAAUUCGUAGAUAUUUGUAGGAAUGCCGAUGGAGAAGUCAGCUCACUGGACAGAUACUGACGCUGAAGCGCGAAAGCGUGGGGAGCAAACAGGAUUAGAUACCCUGGUAGUCCACGCCGUAAACGAUGAUCACUAGGUGUUGGGGGUCGAACCUCAGCGCCCAAGCUAACGCGAUAAGUGAUCCGCCUGGGGAGUACGCACGCAAGUGUGAAACUCAAAGGAAUUGACGGGGACCCGCACAAGCGGUGGAGCAUGUGGUUUAAUUCGACGCAACGCGAGAAACCUUACCAGCGUUUGACAUCCUAAGAAGUUUCCAAAGAUGGAUUCGUGCCGGCUUGCCGGAACUUAGUGACAGGUGGUGCAUGGCUGUCCUCACCUCCGGGCCUGGAAAUGUUGGGUUAAGUCCCGCAACGAACGGCACCCCCUAUUGGAGGUUGCUACCUUUAAGUUGAGCACUCUUGCGAAUAUUGCCUUGGAAUAAACAGGAAGAAAGGUGGGGGAUAAACUUCAAAUUUCAUUGGCCCCUUUAAACCUGGGGGUAAACACGUGGUUAAAAUGGGGGAAUACAAAGAAUUUGCCAACUCCCCGAAAGGAAGGGCCUAUCUCUUUAAAAGCGUGGUCUAUAUCUCGGGAUAGGAUCCUCCCCCACUCCAACUUACUUAUGG
Molecule: ribosomal RNA, 1297 nt
Filed under: uncultured bacterium
Lineage: Bacteria
Description: bacterial SSU rRNA
Rfam family: Bacterial small subunit ribosomal RNA
Source: RNAcentral